Molecule: ribosomal RNA, 160 nt
Filed under: Thermoascaceae sp.
Lineage: Eukaryota; Fungi; Ascomycota; Eurotiomycetes; Eurotiales; Thermoascaceae
Description: partial large subunit ribosomal RNA
Source: RNAcentral
AAGCGCUUGCAGCCAGAUUCACCUGGGGAGGCUCCAUCGGUACCUGUACCGGUUCAUUCCUUCCCGAGUGGGCCAGCGUCGGUUUGGGCGGUUGGUUAAAGACUCCUGGAAUGUGUCGCCCUCCGGGGCGUCUUAUAGCCGGGAGUGCCAUGCAACCAGC